GUUUAAUUCGAUGCAACGCGAAGAACCUUACCUACCCUUGACAUCCUGCGAAGAGCGCUGAGAGGUGCUUGUGCCGAAAGGAACGCAGAGACAGGUGCUGCAUGGCUGUCGUCAGCUCGUGUUGUGAGAUGUUGGGUUAAGUCCCGUAACGAGCGCAACCCUUGUCCUUAGUUACCAGCAUUGAGUUGGGGACUCUAAGGAGACUGCCGGUGAUGAACCGGAGGAAGGCGGGGACGACGUCAAGUCAUCAUGGCCUUUAUGGGUAGGGCUACACACGUGCUACAAUGGGGCGUACAGAGGGUCGCGAACCCGCGAGGGGGAGCCAAUCUCGAAAAGCGUCUCGUAGUCCGGAUUGGAGUCUGCAACUCGACUCCAUGAAGUUGGAAUCGCUAGUAAUCGCGAAUCAGCAUUGUCGCGGUGAAUACGUUCCCGGGCCUUGUACACACCGCC
Molecule: ribosomal RNA, 450 nt
Filed under: uncultured bacterium
Lineage: Bacteria
Description: bacterial SSU rRNA
Rfam family: Bacterial small subunit ribosomal RNA
Source: RNAcentral